This 383-nucleotide ribosomal RNA is filed under the name Staphylococcus sp. EP_L_12. Its description in RNAcentral is "bacterial SSU rRNA". It matches the Rfam family "Bacterial small subunit ribosomal RNA", at positions 36 to 403 of the family's 1533-position model. Lineage: Bacteria; Bacillati; Bacillota; Bacilli; Caryophanales; Staphylococcaceae. The record is from RNAcentral.
GCGGUACCUGGCGGCGUGCUAUACAUGCAAGUCGAGCGAACAGAUAAGGAGCUUGCUCCUUUGACGUUAGCGGCGGACGGGUGAGUAACACGUGGAUAACCUACCUAUAAGACUGGGAUAACUUCGGGAAACCGGAGCUAAUACCGGAUAAGAUUUUGAACCGCAUGGUUCAAUAGUGAAAGACGGCCUUGCUGUCACUUAUAGAUGGAUCCGCGCCGUAUUAGCUAGUUGGUAAGGUAACGGCUUACCAAGGCAACGAUACGUAGCCGACCUGAGAGGGUGAUCGGCCACACUGGAACUGAGACACGGUCCAGACUCCUACGGGAGGCAGCAGUAGGGAAUCUUCCGCAAUGGGCGAAAGCCUGACGGAGCAACGCCGCGUG